CUUCAAACCUUCCAAUCGCUUGUCAUGCCACUAUUUGGUCUUCGCCUUAUAGAUGGUCAAAUUUUCAUAAGCUUGCUGACGCCACUCUUCUAGUUCAUUUAGUUGCCACUGCCUCUGUCUACCUGCGCUAUCUAAAUCAAAGUUACAAGAUUUAAGUGCCCAUAACACUUUAUGUUCUAGCUCAAUAGGUAAAUGGCAACCUUUCCC
This 207-nucleotide long non-coding RNA is filed under the name Ricinus communis (castor bean). Its description in RNAcentral is "long non-coding RNA (RCOM_LNC002410)". Lineage: Eukaryota; Viridiplantae; Streptophyta; Magnoliopsida; Malpighiales; Euphorbiaceae. The record is from RNAcentral.